AGAGUUUGAUCAUGGCUCAGAUUGAACGCUGGCGGCAGGCCUAACACAUGCAAGUCGAACGGUAACAGAAAGCAGCUUGCUGCUUUGCUGACGAGUGGCGGACGGGUGAGUAAUGUCUGGGAAACUGCCUGAUGGAGGGGGAUAACUACUGGAAACGGUAGCUAAUACCGCAUAACGUCGCAAGACCAAAGAGGGGGACCUUCGGGCCUCUUGCCAUCGGAUGUGCCCAGAUGGGAUUAGCUAGUAGGUGGGGUAAAGGCUCACCUAGGCGACGAUCCCUAGCUGGUCUGAGAGGAUGACCAGCCACACUGGAACUGAGACACGGUCCAGACUCCUACGGGAGGCAGCAGUGGGGAAUAUUGCACAAUGGGCGCAAGCCUGAUGCAGCCAUGCCGCGUGUAUGAAGAAGGCCUUCGGGUUGUAAAGUACUUUCAGCGGGGAGGAAGGGAGUAAAGUUAAUACCUUUGCUCAUUGACGUUACCCGCAGAAGAAGCACCGGCUAACUCCGUGCCAGCAGCCGCGGUAAUACGGAGGGUGCAAGCGUUAAUCGGAAUUACUGGGCGUAAAGCGCACGCAGGCGGUUUGUUAAGUCAGAUGUGAAAUCCCCGGGCUCAACCUGGGAACUGCAUCUGAUACUGGCAAGCUUGAGUCUCGUAGAGGGGGGUAGAAUUCCAGGUGUAGCGGUGAAAUGCGUAGAGAUCUGGAGGAAUACCGGUGGCGAAGGCGGCCCCCUGGACGAAGACUGACGCUCAGGUGCGAAAGCGUGGGGAGCAAACAGGAUUAGAUACCUUGGUAGUCCACGCCGUAAACGAUGUCGACUUGGAGGUUGUGCCCUUGAGGCGUGGCUUCCGGAGCUAACGCGUUAAGUCGACCGCCUGGGGAGUACGGCCGCAAGGUUAAAACUCAAAUGAAUUGACGGGGGCCCGCACAAGCGGUGGAGCAUGUGGUUUAAUUCGAUGCAACGCGAAGAACCUUACCUGGUCUUGACAUCCACGGAAGUUUUCAGAGAUGAGAAUGUGCCUUCGGGAACCGUGAGACAGGUGCUGCAUGGCUGUCGUCAGCUCGUGUUGUGAAAUGUUGGGUUAAGUCCCGCAACGAGCGCAACCCUUAUCCUUUGUUGCCAGCGGUCCGGCCGGGAACUCAAAGGAGACUGCCAGUGAUAAACUGGAGGAAGGUGGGGAUGACGUCAAGUCAUCAUGGCCCUUACGACCAGGGCUACACACGUGCUACAAUGGCGCAUACAAAGAGAAGCGACCUCGCGAGAGCAAGCGGACCUCAUAAAGUGCGUCGUAGUCCGGAUUGGAGUCUGCAACUCGACUCCAUGAAGUCGGAAUCGCUAGUAAUCGUGGAUCAGAAUGCCACGGUGAAUACGUUCCCGGGCCUUGUACACACCGCCCGUCACACCAUGGGAGUGGGUUGCAAAAGAAGUAGGUAGCUUAACCUUCGGGAGGGCGCUUACCACUUUGUGAUUCAUGACUGGGGUGAAGUCGUAACAAGGUAACCGUAGGGGAACCUGCGGUUGGAUCACCU
This 1530-nucleotide ribosomal RNA is filed under the name Escherichia coli UMEA 4207-1. Its description in RNAcentral is "bacterial SSU rRNA". It matches the Rfam family "Bacterial small subunit ribosomal RNA". Lineage: Bacteria; Pseudomonadati; Pseudomonadota; Gammaproteobacteria; Enterobacterales; Enterobacteriaceae. The record is from RNAcentral.